GCUCAGAUUGAACGCUGGCGGCAGGCCUAACACAUGCAAGUCGAGCGGUAACAGAAAGUAGCUUGCUACUUUGCUGACGAGCGGCGGACGGGUGAGUAAUGCUUGGGAACAUGCCUUGAGGUGGGGGACAACAGUUGGAAACGACUGCUAAUACCGCAUAAUGUCUACGGACCAAAGGGGGCUUCGGCUCUCGCCUUUAGAUUGGCCCAAGUGGGAUUAGCUAGUUGGUGAGGUAAUGGCUCACCAAGGCGACGAUCCCUAGCUGGUUUGAGAGGAUGAUCAGCCACACUGGGACUGAGACACGGCCCAGACUCCUACGGGAGGCAGCAGUGGGGAAUAUUGCACAAUGGGCGCAAGCCUGAUGCAGCCAUGCCGCGUGUGUGAAGAAGGCCUUCGGGUUGUAAAGCACUUUCAGUCAGGAGGAAAGCGUGGUGGUUAAUACCCAUCAUGUGUGACGUUACUGACAGAAGAAGCACCGGCU
This 481-nucleotide ribosomal RNA is filed under the name uncultured Gammaproteobacteria bacterium. RNAcentral describes it as "bacterial SSU rRNA". It matches the Rfam family "Bacterial small subunit ribosomal RNA", at positions 22 to 498 of the family's 1533-position model. Lineage: Bacteria; Pseudomonadati; Pseudomonadota; Gammaproteobacteria. The record is from RNAcentral.